RNAcentral lists this ribosomal RNA (433 nucleotides) under uncultured bacterium. Its description in RNAcentral is "partial 16S ribosomal RNA". It matches the Rfam family "Bacterial small subunit ribosomal RNA", at positions 29 to 507 of the family's 1533-position model. The record is from RNAcentral.
AACGAACGCUGGCGGCAUGCCUAACACAUGCAAGUCGAACGAGACCUUCGGGUCUAGUUGCGCACGGGUGCUUAACGCGUGGUAACCUGCCCUUAGGUUCGGAAUAACUCCCCGAAAGGUGUGCUAAUACCGGAUAAUGUCUUCGGACCAAAGAUUUAUCGCCUUUGGAUGGGCCCGCGUUGGAUUCGCUAGUUGGUAGUGUAAAAGCCUACCAAGGCGACGUUCCAUAGCUGGUCUGAGAGGAUGAUCAGCCACACUGGAACUGAGACACGGCCCAGACUCCUACGGGGGGCAGCAGUGGGGAAUAUUGGACGAUGGGCGAAAGCCUGAUCAAGCAAUGCCGCGUGAGUGAUGAAGGCCUUAGGGUUGUAAAGCUCUUUUACCCGGGAUGAUAAUGACAGUACCGGGAGAAUAAGCUCCGGCUAACUACGUG